ACAGCAGUCGCCGCGGUAAUACGGAGGGUGCAAGCGUUAAUCGGAAUUACUGGGCGUAAAGCGCACGCAGGCGGUCUGUCAAGUCAGAUGUGAAAUCCCCGGGCUUAACCUGGGAACUGCAUUUGAAACUGGCAGGCUAGAGUCUUGUAGAGGGGGGUAGAAUUCCAGGUGUAGCGGUGAAAUGCGUAGAGAUCUGGAGGAAUACCGGUGGCGAAGGCGGCCCCCUGGACAAAGACUGACGCUCAGGUGCGAAAGCGUGGGGAGCAAACAGGAUUAGAUACCCGGGUAGUCCCUGUCUCUUAUAC
This 305-nucleotide ribosomal RNA is filed under the name uncultured bacterium. RNAcentral describes it as "partial 16S ribosomal RNA". It matches the Rfam family "Bacterial small subunit ribosomal RNA", at positions 508 to 807 of the family's 1533-position model. The record is from RNAcentral.